Tigriopus californicus is the source of this 3427-nucleotide long non-coding RNA. RefSeq lists it as uncharacterized. NCBI's taxonomy places the organism in Eukaryota, Metazoa, Arthropoda, Copepoda, Harpacticoida, Harpacticidae. The transcript has 5 exons. The record is from RefSeq and is a predicted model, not a curated record.
GCCACCCUGAUGAAUCAACACAACGUCAAUCUGAUUCUAAUCAAAACGUCAAUUGGUGAAUGGCCCAAAGCCCAGGAAGGGCCCAGGGUCAAGACUCCCAUCGCCAACUCGACCCCCUCCCUCACUCUUGGGACGAAUUGGGGACCAUGCAGUGAUCCUGGAUGCAUGGAUUGGCCAGGCCUAUUGGGUUUUUGGACAUUGGAGACUGUCCCAUCCAUUCUGUCUCUUGCACAGACUGACGAUUCAAAUUGGAAAGGCCAAUUGGUCAACCCUCUUGGAGUCUUCAGUCUAUAGAAAGUGUUUGUAAUUAAUCCUGCGGUUGCCAGAGGUCCAGCCAGAGGUUCUGCCAGGGUUUAGCCAGCCAGCCACUUAUCAUGGGCCAACGCUAUUGUUCGGUGCCGGGUUGCCACUCCUACUUCAAGCGCGAUUCCUUCUUGGGCGUGAUCUUUCACCGCUUCCCACCAAUCCCGAACGCAAACGAUUGUGGAUCCAGGCUGGUCCGGCGAAAAAACCCGACGGAUCGCCCUGGAAUCCGGGAUGCAGCGCUCGAAUUUGUUCCCUCCAUUUUAUUGGACAGAAAAAGUGCAAUGAUCCCGAUAGUCCCAGUUAUGUGCCCACCAUUUUCCCCCACCAUCAGGUGCGAAUCAACGCACUGGCCGCCAAGCGUUAUCACCGCAAGCAAAGAGGCCAUGGCCCAGGCCUUACCCGUCCAGCCUGAGGAGCGGCAGGAGACCAUUUUACGGCCAAAGUUCAAUUGACCGCCCGCCCAGCCGGCGAUCAAGCCGAAGAAACCGAAUCCGUCGAUCUGUUUGACUCCAAAGACCGUCCGGUCACGGACCUGUCUGGUCCCAUCAAGCAGUGCAGACGACGGCGAUCCCGGACUCAGAUGCCUGGGGUCAUUUUGAAUGGCAACAUGAGGCGUUCCCAGGGCCCAAGGAAAUGGUCGGCCGCCACCCAAGUGUGCAUCCCAAGUUAGGGCAAAAGCGAGAUCAGGCUGAAUGGUUAUAUCUCACCCCAUCCGGAUUCAAACUCGUGAUGAAGAGACCUUUGAACUCUGGGCCUGAGCCAGGUUGGCUCGCUUUAGGGAUGGAUUGAGGUCUCCCCUUUCAAUAUUAAUUAGUUUGAACUCAAUCGGGAUGAAACUUGCAUAGACGAUGUGUAUACCUCGCAAUUUGGAAUCGGAAUUAUCUGUCGGAAGAAAUGGUAAAUGUUCGAUUAUCCGCCUGCAUCGUUUUCAAAGAGACUUCGAGACGCUCAUUCGCCUGCUCGGACUGCCUUUGGAAUAUAGCCAAAGAUCAAGGUUCAAUGUUGGGGUGGUUUCAAAUUCAUCCACACCUAUCAGCCGGUGAUUCAAUUCUAAUGAUAUCUCUUGUGAACAAGUUUGUCAAUGUACAGUUAUAAAGAAACGUAAAACCCUUACAACGUAAGACAGGUAUGCCUAAAAUACUUGGAACAACUUAAUUACACUCUAAUGAUAGUAAGUAUUGGGAUUUGGAAACUUGUACAAAUUAGGUAUUACUUUAUGAUUAUCACGCAUACUGUCAACUUAAACUUAUAAGAAAACCGUGAUGUUACCGAUGAGAAUCAUUUGUCAAAGAAGUACCUACAUUUCAGGCAUUAAUGUUGAAAAUUUGUAGAACACUAGUUCAAUUUUAACAUAGAGUUUCAAAAUAAUUACCCAAUUAGCAAUGAGAAAUCGCAAAAUUUGAUGUUUUCAGUUGGUUUUAGUGGGUUUAGAGCAAUUCAUUUAAACCUCAUAUCAACACUGAACUUUCUUUGCUUUUGACAGAAAGAUUUAACAUUCGUGUUUUGGUCAGUGCAUUCAAGUACAAUGAUAUGCUCGAAAUUGCAUUCGAUUGGCUUCAAAGGUUCUCAUUAUAACUCAUCCGACAUGGAACCAUAUCCCAAGCUCUCUGGAAACCCCAUCAUGGACUUGCCCAAAUCUGAAAGAUCUCUCAUAGUAGAGCGAUUAAUAAAUUUGAUUUCGUUGUUGUUGAUGGGAAAUCGGGUGGAGUUUCUCCCGACAAGAAUUUGCUUCGCAUUCUGGCCAGAUAAUCCAUGUUCACUCCACAUUUUGGGCCGGUUGGGAUGUAAAACACCGAACUGGGAUCUUGACCUUUGUGCUCCGAUUCCACGCUGUGAAUCUGAGGACGAGAAAAUGAAGAAUUUCGUGGGGGAUUCAAGAUGGAAACGGGCCAUUCUCACCAAGUCUGCAUGCCACCAAACUGAAUCGCCCAUUUCAAUGUUGGGCAGUGAAACUAGGCCUUGGAGUUUAGGAUGCCAUCGCUCAGAUACGUGGAAUGUCUUCCCUGGUUGACAUCCGGGCAUGACUUGGUCUGGAACAUCUUGGAGAAACGGUCUGAGCAUCCAAUACCAAGUGGCUUCUCUUCAAAAUAGGCAGUACUUUUAGAGUGCCUUUGCCUGGACCUGUUGGGGAUGUGGCUAACCAACCUUGAAAGGCUCUGAAAAGAAAAAUAAAGACUCGGUGGUUUGAGUUUUUGCAUAUUGAUAGACCUCGGAAUGAGUUUGAGUUGAUUAGUUCAUCAGUGGGUACGAUAACCUACACGAGAACAUUAAUACUGAUUUUCUCAAAAAAGCUUACAGACAGCAUGCGAUUAGCGUAGUGCCAUCCUGGUCUCCCCCCCCAGAUUGGCCGCCAUAUUGGAUCUCGACUUUAUGUCCAUGCCCGCAGCUGUAUUUAGCUGAUGUGGUAUGCCCACUUUCGUAUUCCAACACAAUAGGAUGUUCACAAUCAACUCGAAAUUUGGCUAUGGGUUUUGUCGAUCCAGAAGUAUUCCCCCCCCCCCCCCCUUAUUGUAUGUUAUUUUAAUCCAUAGCUGAAGUGUUAUUGCACGACAAGAAUAGACUGACAGUUGAGUGAGAUUAACCUAGACGUCUGAUUUCUUGAAUUUCGUUGCUAUUGUGAUACGAUCAAGCCUUCUGAGGUGCAAUGGCCGAUAAAAACUCCAAAGCCUCAAGCCCUAACAAGAGUACCCUUCUUGACUUAAAGAUAUAGGACUUAAGGGCUCUUACAGUGGCUUUUCAAGAGCUGAAUUGAGAGCUACGAAUGCCCAUGAACUGGUACUCACUUCUGUAAACCCACAAAAAUUCACCCGCGAAGGACUAAGGUACACCCAUUGGCAUGGCCUUCUUCAUUCAUGGCAGCCUGAAUCCGAUAGUCCAUAGCGAAUGGAUCGUAUGCGUCCAAGUUCCCUUUGAAUAUUUGCUCGUACACCUUGCGGUAAACAGGAUCAGACCACCUUUCAAUCCCACCUCCAUCAAUAUGGAAAGUUGGUAUGAUAGAAUUACCGUGGAUCGACAACUCGUCCAAUCGAACUUGAAGCUUCUCUUCGACCACCUGAAAGAGCCGUCGGGCAAAGUCUGGUUCCACUUGCAUGGCCUUCUUGACCUUGGAAUAUUGCAUUGA